GAACCGAGCGAACGUUGUUCGGAAUCACUGGGCUUAAAGGGCGCGUAGGCGGGCCGCCGCGUCCGGGGUGAAAUCCUCCCGCUCAACGGGAGAACGGCCUCGGAUACGGGCGGUCUGGAGGGGGGUAGGGGCGUGCGGAACUGUGGGUGGAGCGGUGAAAUGCGUUGAUAUCCACAGGAACUCCGGUGGCGAAGGCGGCACGCUGGACCCCACCUGACGCUGAGGCGCGAAAGCCAGGGGAGCGAACGGGAUUAGAUACCCCGGUAGUCCUGGCCCUAAACGAUGGGUACUAGGUAGUAGACUUGACAUGGGUUUACUGCCGGAGCCAAAGUGCUAAGUACCCCGCCUGGGGAGUAUGGUCGCAAGGCUGAA
Molecule: ribosomal RNA, 372 nt
Filed under: uncultured bacterium
Lineage: Bacteria
Description: bacterial SSU rRNA
Rfam family: Bacterial small subunit ribosomal RNA
Source: RNAcentral